UGGAACGUGGCCAAGUGGUAAGGCAAUAGGGUUUGGUCCUGUUAUUCGUGGGUUCGAAUCCUUCCGUUCCA
This 71-nucleotide transfer RNA is filed under the name Burmannia itoana. RNAcentral's name for it is "tRNA-Gln". It matches the Rfam family "tRNA". Rfam says of the family: Transfer RNA (tRNA) molecules are approximately 80 nucleotides in length. Their secondary structure includes four short double-helical elements and three loops (D, anti-codon, and T loops). The record is from RNAcentral. Lineage: Eukaryota; Viridiplantae; Streptophyta; Magnoliopsida; Dioscoreales; Burmanniaceae.